CCUACGGGUGGCAGCAGUGAGGAAUAUUGGUCAAUGGGCGGAAGCUUGAACCAGCCAAGUCGCGUGAGGGAAUAAGGCCCUACGGGUCGUAAACCUCUUUUGCCGGGGAGCAAGGGCGGGGACGUGUCCCGGCCCGGAGAGUACCCGGAGAAAAAGCAUCGGCUAACUCCGUGCCAGCAGCCGCGGUAAUACGGAGGAUCCAAGCGUUAUCCGGAUUUAUUGGGUUUAAAGGGUGCGUAGGCGGAUUGAUAAGUUAGAGGUGAAAUGUCCGGGCUUAACUCGGGAACUGCCUCUAAUACUGUUGAUCUAGAGAGUAGAUGCGGUAGGCGGAAUGUAUGGUGUAGCGGUGAAAUGCUUAGAGAUCAUACAGAACACCGAUUGCGAAGGUAGCUUACCAAUCUAUAUCUGACGUUGAGGCACGAAAGCGUGGGGAGCAAACAGGAUUAGAUACCCCAGUAGUC
Molecule: ribosomal RNA, 461 nt
Filed under: uncultured bacterium
Lineage: Bacteria
Description: partial 16S ribosomal RNA
Rfam family: Bacterial small subunit ribosomal RNA
Source: RNAcentral